This 497-nucleotide ribosomal RNA is filed under the name uncultured bacterium. RNAcentral's name for it is "partial 16S ribosomal RNA". It matches the Rfam family "Bacterial small subunit ribosomal RNA", at positions 28 to 507 of the family's 1533-position model. The record is from RNAcentral.
GAUGAACGCUGGCGGCGUGCCUAAUACAUGCAAGUCGAACGCAUAGCGAAAGGUGCUUGCACCUUUCAAGUGAGUGGCGAACGGGUGAGUAACACGUGGACAACCUGCCUCAAGGCUGGGGAUAACAUUUGGAAACAGAUGCUAAUACCGAAUAAAACUUAGUGUCGCAUGACACAAAGUUAAAAGGCGCUUCGGCGUCACCUAGAGAUGGAUCCGCGGUGCAUUAGUUAGUUGGUGGGGUAAAGGCCUACCAAGACAAUGAUGCAUAGCCGAGUUGAGAGACUGAUCGGCCACAUUGGGACUGAGACACGGCCCAAACUCCUACGGGAGGCGGCAGUAGGGAAUCUUCCACAAUGGGCGAAAGCCUGAUGGAGCAACGCCGCGUGUGUGAUGAAGGCUUUCGGGUCGUAAAGCACUGUUGUAUGGGAAGAACAGCUAGAAUAGGAAAUGAUUUUAGUUUGACGGUACCAUACCAGAAAGGGACGGCUAAAUACGUG